GGUACAUGGAAUGAGGUCAUGUCUUGGCACAUGGGCGUGUUUCCCCCGCCACCCAGGUUCAUACCAACUCACAGGAGAGGCAAAAGGGGGAAGACUACUAUGACCUCAGAGGCCCUGGGGUCCACACUUCUCAGAAGCCUUCUGAAAUGGCAAAAUACUUCUCAAGAUUUCCUGUCCUUCAGGAAGGAUCAGCACAAGCAUGUGAACAGGCAUGUCACUCUCUGCCUCCCAGCCUGAGGGAAAUGAUGUAUAUAACCUGGCACUUUCAACCUGAUUUACAGAAACAACAUGACCAGAUUCCUAUAUGCAAAGAUCAACUGACAAAGGACAAAGAAGUUAUGUGACCUUCGGAUCUACAGACGUCAGUCAGCUUUUGGCUCCAGCGCCCUCCUGAUUUCUCCUCUUCCUGACACAGAAGCUCAAAGUUCAAGCUGAUGGGAGACAGUUCUUCCGGACAAUAGUUCACCACCCGUUUGGUUUGCCGACAAUUUCCUACCCCAACAUCUUUCCCCUUGACUUAAUGGCCUAUUGUGCAGUGAUCAGAAUAAGCUUGGUCUUGGUCUCAUUAAGACAAACCUGAAUUAACUGCCUGAUAAGAUAAAAGAGAACCCCAAUUCUGCACUACUUUGUGUCUAGGAUGUGAGAUGGCCAGGUUGGAAUUUUUUGAAAACUCUAAGUUUAAAGCUUUGAGUGGGUUGGGUCUGAUUAGAACUGAGUGAGGAUCAUGAUACAACAGUCCAGGAUUGGUGGGAACAGCAAGGUGAAGCAUUUUGAGCAAAGAUUCAGAGAAGCUUAGGGUCCUUCCCACUGAAAAGCUGAUGAGUGUUUCAGUUGAUGAGUCUUUCUGAAAUAGUAAAACCAUGCUAAUGAAGUCAAUGGAACAGCACAGCCCUAUUCAUAUAGAUGCUAAACUGCAUAGGGGAUAGUUAGUUUCAGUCCUAAGUGUCCAGACUGUGGGGGGGCGGGGUGGAUGGUUUUGAUUCUCAACCUUUCUAGAAGUCAACCUGACAACAUGCAUAAAGAGUCUUAAAUGCAUUCUCACCUUUUACAUUGUAAUUCUAUUUCCAAGGAGCUAAGGAAAUAAUCUAAAAUGCAUACAAUGAUUUACAUAAUGAGGAUGUUCAUUAUGAACUGAAAUCAUUUAAGAGCCCCAAAUUGGAAGUAACACAAAUAAUAGGUAAUAAUACUAGGUAAAGAAAUGUGGUAUAUGCAUAUGGUAGAAGUUCAUGAAGCCAUUAAAAUUUUAUGGGAAAAAAGUAAUAACAGUGGAAUAUGCAUGUACUUUACUUGCUAAGAGGAAAAAAGCAGAUUAGAGAUUCAAAUAAACAAUGAAAAAAAUUAUGGGAAGAAAAUGUAUCAAACAUACCAAAUACACCAAAAUGAGACUCCUGGGUGGUUAGACACAAUUUCAAUUUUCUUCCUUACACUUCUCA
Molecule: long non-coding RNA, 1433 nt
Filed under: Mustela putorius furo (domestic ferret)
Lineage: Eukaryota; Metazoa; Chordata; Mammalia; Carnivora; Mustelidae
Description: lncRNA (ENSMPUG00000025255.1)
Source: RNAcentral